AGUCCACUUUAAAAAUCAACAUGUUCAGUCAGCCCCAUCCAAAAAACACAUAACAAAAAAAACAACUGCUUCAAGUUACUUUGCAAGUCAACACUAGCAACUAUUUAAAUUUUGAAUCAUUUUCAACUAUUAUAAAACCACUCUCUCCUCUUUUUAAGGGCCAUAAUUAAGUUCCCAAUUCCUCAUCUAGGCUGCCAAACACAACUAUAAAAGAAAUGUAAAAUUCAGGUUUGAAAAUCUAGUAAGUUAGAAUCCAAAUCCAUGCAGCCAAACGACACCUA
Long non-coding RNA from Magnolia sinica, 281 nucleotides. RefSeq lists it as uncharacterized. The record is from RefSeq and is a predicted model, not a curated record. Lineage: Eukaryota; Viridiplantae; Streptophyta; Magnoliopsida; Magnoliales; Magnoliaceae. The transcript has 2 exons.